AAACCUCAAUCAGGUAAUGACAUUGGAAGUAUGAGUUUACAAUUCAAAAGCAACCAUGAAUCUAAAGCAUGAGUUUACAAACAAUGUAAAAACAACCAUGUUCAAUCUAGAUCAGAAACAUCAUACAAACUGAAUUGGGUUUUCAUUAUCUUCAUCUUUCCUCUUCUUCACCAUUGCUGCAAAAAAAAGCACAGGAAUAAUGUGAAACUAAUGACUAGAAAACUUGAUUUGUGAAACUAGCUAGCAGCAAAUUUGAAAUAUUCAUAACCUCAGAAUCACGGUGCAAAUCAUUGUGGAAUUUAAUUUGUAACGAGACUGAGAGCUUCCAGCUGAAAUCGAAAACCUUAAACCAGAAAACGAAACUGAAAACGAAAACCCUAAACCAGAAACGAAACUGAAAUCGAAAACCCUAAACCAGAAAACCAAACUGAUAUCGAAACCUAACGAAAUCAAAAUCGACAGUGACGAAAGAGGUUUACAUGGACAAGCCGAUGUCGAGUUCUCUGAAGGAAGAAGUCUAACGAACGAGAUGACGACGAGAUGGACAGAACCAGACCGACGAGCGGGACAGAAUCAGACCGACGAGCUACGAGGAAGAGGUCGGGCGAGCACUACUGUUCGUUCCUUCGUAGAGGAUGGAGGUCCAACCAGCCAAGUUCUUCCCAGUCGAUGAAUUUGGUUGCUGGGAGUUCUCGAUCUUGGUUGUUGGGGCUAGGCGUGGCGACGGGUAGAUUCAGGGAUGGUUAUUACCCAUUCGUUUUUGUGACGAUUAUUUAAUCAUAACCAUUUCUGUUUCUAUUUCGGUUAUACAAUUAGAACAUCACGAUACCUAUAUAGUUAACUGUUAUAAU
This 851-nucleotide long non-coding RNA is filed under the name Linum usitatissimum (flax). Its description in RNAcentral is "long non-coding RNA (LUSI_LNC007223)". Lineage: Eukaryota; Viridiplantae; Streptophyta; Magnoliopsida; Malpighiales; Linaceae. The record is from RNAcentral.